UGUGGUUGGAGUCAAAGUGCAAUUAGCAAUUGGGAGAGGAAUCCUUGCAAUACAUGUUCCUGACAGAAGACUUGUAUUGGUGGACACUGCAGCAUUAAUAAUGCCUUGACUAUUUGUGGACACUUGAGCAAUCGUUGUGUUGCCACAAAUAAUCGUUACAUUUGCUCCACUCACUCCGACGCCUGGGGCAUUACUUCCCGGUACGGAGCAAGACAAACUCCCAAUAUAGUUAAAUUAAUAUUCGUUGGUAUAAUCGGUGGUACUUGACCACCAACAGGUGGUACAAUCGGUGGUAUACUAAUGGGUGGUACAAUCGGUGGUAUAUUAAUGGGUGGUACAAUGGGUUGGCCAAGAAUAGGACCAACAAUUGGACUGAGAAUAGAACCAACAAUCGGUAAUUGACCAAGACCAACAUGUGCUACUUGACCGACGGGUGGUACAAUACGUGGUGCAGGUUGCCCCAAAAUGGAACCCACAAGGGGAAUGGGACCCAAAAUGGGACGAAUAAUGGGACCAAUGUUAAUAGGCAAUUGAGCAUGGGCUAGAGGACUGGUGGUGAUGAUGGAAAGUAGAAUAAAAAGGGAAACAACACACAUUUUUGAAGACAUGACGAUUUGAUAAUUUUUAUUCUGUUCAAUAUACCCUUUAUAUAGUGCUCCUUUUUAUUUACUCCACCCCUACCAUAACUUACCCCACCCCCAACCUAUAUAAAUGAUUAAAUAUAUUAUCUUUCAUCCCUAAAUAAGACUUACAAAUAUCUCACAUAUAUCAUCAUUAGUUAGGUUGAAACUCAUCAACUUGAACAACAUUGGGACCAUACAAAUUAAUUAAUUCAAUAUCAUUUGACUUGUCAUAAGAAGAAAUUUUUUUUGUAAGUUGAGGCCAAAAGGCCUUUGGUUUGCCCAUAGGAUCUAUUUUGAUGGAAUAAAUAACUCCACUUGGUUUGGGUGUCAAAAAAAAAAACAAUAAAAAUAACAACAACAAAAGAAGAUUUUUGAAAAUAGUUGUGUGAUUGUUAAUCACUUCAUUAAAAAAAAAUUAAUGUUAUAUCAUGUUUUUAAUUAUAAUAAACUACACUAUAUAAUAAUAACAACAAUAACAAUAACAACAACAACAACAACAACAACAACAACAAUAAUAAUAAUAAUAAUAAUAAUAAUAAUCAAGGGCAAAAAGCUAAUCUACUUGGUCAACAUAAAAUGACUUUUAAGUUUUUAUAAAAAAAGAACCCCUCACCUAUCUUUUAGAUUUUGGCAUAAAAUAAGUCAUUUUGGACUUAAAAUAAGUCACUUUGAUAAUUGUCAAACACUCAAAUAAAUCAAAAACUGAAUUUUAAAUCAGUUUGACCAGCUUUUAAGCCCAUUCCAAUAGGCUCUAAGUGUGUAAAUGACUUUUCUAUACAAGUUCAAGAUGAAAUUUAUGUCUUUUUCCAUUUGAAAUACCAUCACAAUACUUUAUUUCUCACGCCAUGUAUUCAUGAUAUAAUAAAAGAUAUAUAUAUUAAAUAUUGAAUAAGAAAUUUAUGGGUGCCUCAACUAUGUUAAAAAAAGACAUAUGUCUUAGGUCCCCCUAAUUUAAGGGGCCUCAUUUUUAAUAAUAAUAGGUUAUAAGUUAUUGUUUUUAAACAAAUAUUGAAUACUAUUUGUAGAAAAAGUAAAUUUUUUCAUGAAAAAUAAAGAAAUUAUAGAAGAAAUUUGACAUGUUUGAAGUAAUAUAUCUCAUGAAAAAUAAUUUAAAAUAAGAAUGAUUAUAUUAUCAAUUUAAAACUACAAGAAAUCAAUUAUAUAAAGUUAUUGACGAUUCAAGUUUAAUGAUCUAUUUAAUUUUUAUUUUAGGCCGUUAAUAUGCUUAAGCCGCUUCUAAAGAAAUUUUGGUAUUUUUUCAAAGAAUGAUGUAACAUAAAAGUUAUAAUAUAAUAUGUAUUUUACUUUAUCAGAAAAUAUCAAGAGAAUGUGGGAUGAACGCAUGAGUUAAUUUGACAAAGUUUAACCAUUCAUUACAAUAUUACUAAAAAUAAGGGAAAAGGGUCUAAUAUACCCUCAACUUUGUCAUUUGGAGCUAAUAUAUCCAUCGUUAUAAAAGUGGCUCAUAUAUGCCCUUACCGUUAUACAAACGGCUCACAUAUAUUCCUCACGUUACAAAAUGGCUCAUAUAUACCCUUUAUUUAACGGGAGUUAAAAACUUAGUUUUAAAUUUAUAUUUAUUACUUGUAAUUUUUUAAAAAAAAAUUAUUUAGGGGUAUAUAUGAUUCUUCUAUCAAAGUUCAAGGUAUAUUUUAAUUUUUUUCAUAUAUAAAUUAUUUUUUGACUUUUUUUAUUAUAAUUAUUUGAGUUUCUUAUUCUUAUGUUUUUUCUUUCAUUCCUUAGUUUAAAGAAAACAAAUUUAAACUAUUUUUUUUGUGUGUAUUGUAAUUUAAUUUCGUAUUUGAAGAAAAAAUUUGGUCACCUACAAUAAGUUUUACAAGAAUAUUAGUGAAACAUAAAUAAAUAUGAUUAUCAAAAUAAUAAUUAUAAAUUAGUCAUUGAAACAAAAAAAGGUCAAAAAAAAUAUGUUUGACGAGGAUUAAAUUUACUUAUAUGGAAUUAUAUUUUUUAGAAAAAAAUAAUAAAAAUUUAGAUUAAAAUUAUUAUUUUUUCCAUUUCCGAUAGAGGAAAAGGGUAUAUGUGAGUCAUUUCUUUACAAGUAGGGGUAUAUAUGAGCCACUUUCAUAACAAAGGGUAUAUCAACUCUAAGUGACAAAGUUGAGGGGUAUAUCAGACCAUUUUCCCUAAAAAUAAUAAUCUAUCUUAUUUAAUGGCUCAAUAAGUGAAUGAAAAGACGUGUUAAAAUUAAUGUAAUUAAGUAUUUUACUUUUACAAAUUAUGACUUACCCGACCUAACUUAGUACCAUAAGCUAAUAGCUUUCUCUACUAUAGCUUGCCAAACUAUAUAUGCUUUGAAGACCUUUACUAUUAAAAUAAAUUAUCAUAAGAUAAGGUGAACAAAUAUGUAAUGCUUCCGAUAGGGGCUAUUAACUAAUGAAAUACCUCAAAUAUUUGUAUAUUUUUACAAACAUAAGGGUUGUCCUACUUUCUUUAGAAUAAGUUGAUAAUAUAUUAGAUUGAUAGACCCCCUUCCUUUUGAACUGCUAAUUUUUAUUUGUCCAACAGAUAAAAAUAUCUUUUGAAAAAUAACACCAAAUUAGUUUAUUGUUCUUAUCAUAUAUUAUUUUUAUUUGUAUGGAUGUGAAUACAUGCAUGGGCCAUGGCCUGAUAAAUCUUGUUCGUCUUCAAAUUAAGCAUAGUUGGGCAAGCUAUACUAUAACACUAAAUCAAAAUUCACAUUUAGCGAUAUCUAAUUAAUGGUAAGUCGUUAAUAAUUUAAUAUUGUCGUUAAAUAUGUGUUUUUGAAGGUAAUUAGUAGUACUCUUUGUAUAUGUCUAUAGAGUCUGUAGUGAUAUUGAAUAUAAUGACGAUUAAUUAAUGUCGAUAAAGACUUUAAUUAUCAAUCUAUAUUAAUAUGUAUAUUUCUUGCCAUUAAAUGCUAUUUUUAUUUAAAAAACUUACAUAAAUAUACUUAAUUAAAAAAAACACUUACCAUUUAUAGUACUAACGUUUUUUUUUCACUUGAUCAUAAUGAUUAAUAACUUGCAAUAUUUCCUUCACACAACCUGAGUUAGGUUGAAAAUGAUCAACUUGAAAAUUGGGAUCACAAAAAAUAAUGUCGCAUCAUUUGACUUGACACGAUGUUUAACAAAAAAAAGACUUUUUAAAUUAACCCAUCCUUAAAUUGUAAAUCAUUUGUAAAAUAAAAGAAAAUUAAACAUUAAAUAAUUUUUAAAUUAAGUAUGAAAAGUUGUCACUGGUAUCAUAGUUGAAUUUAAAAGCUCAAUGAUCCUUUAUUGUGUUUGAGAGAGGACCUCGGCAUUCACAAAGAAAACUAAACAUUAAAUUAUUAUUUUUAAAUAUGUUGCUAUCAUAUUCUCAUUAAAAAAAAAGAGAAUGCACAAGUACUCCCUCAAUCUAUGUCCGAAAUUAUAGAGACAAACUUAUAUUAUACUAAACUCCUAUUACCCUCUGAACUUAUUUUAUAAGUUUCUCUACCCCUUUUCGACCUACGAGACACUAGUUUGAAAAAAAAAUCAACCAGAGUUGGGCUCACAAGAUAGUGCCACGUAAGUCAAAAAUAGAUAGAAAAUUAUUAAUAAAAUAAGUUUAGAAAAAUAAGAACCCUAUUAUAGUAUAAAAUUAUUAAUAAAAUAAGUUUAGAAAAAUAAGAACCCUAUUAUAGUAUAAAUAUGUCUCUGAAAUUUCACACAUAAAUUGAGGAGAUAUUGCACUUGUUUGUAAUUGAGAUAAUGGUAAUAAACCAAUCACUUCACCAUUUAUAUAUAUUUUUACAAACAUGAGGGUUGUCGUAAUAACUUAAUUACCAUUGAAUAUAUAUUUAAAGACAAUUAGCAAUACUCUUUAUAAAUAUCCCUGAAGACUACAGGGAUAUUGGAUGAAAUGACAAUUAACUAAUGUCAAUAUAGGCUAUAUAUAAUUAUCAACUUUUAUAUAAAUAUGUAUAAUUUUCGCAGCUAAAAGCUAUUUUUAUUUUAGUGCAGAUUACAUAUAUGUAGACCUUAAAUAGACAAAUUAAUCUAAUUGUCCUAAUUUAGGUCGGAUAAGUGAGAAUUUGUUGGAGUAAAAACUUAUAUGAAUUAAAGUAAUUUUAAGGUGUUAAAAUCUCUUUUCAUUCAAUUAUCUGAGCCAUUAAAUAACAUAAAUUAUUGUUUUUAAUAAUAAAAAUUGUUAUAAUGAAUGUGGAAAAAUGCACAAGUACCCCGUCAAUCUAUGCCCGAAAUCUCAGAGACACAUUUAUACUAUACUAAGGUCCUAUUACCCCCCUAAACUUAUUUUAUAAGUAAUUUUCUACCCCCUUUUGGCCUACAUGGCACUAGCUUGAAGAAAAAAGUCAACCAGCGUUGGGCCCACAAGAUAGUGUCACGUAGGCCGAAAAGUUGUCGGUUAGGUAAUUUCUCAAAAAAAUUAUAAUACUUUCAAAUAUAUGAGUAAAGUUGAGUUUAUUAUUGAUUUAUCUUUACUGGACUAAGUGUUUACACUGUUUUACAAGCUUUCCUUAUAUCGCAUGUGUCCUUACUGCUCUAUAUUGAGUUGUUAUUUCAUGAGUUGAGCAGAACCAAUGUAAGUUCAUCCUUACUCCUUUCAAGCCUUUUAGUAGUGUUUAGCAUUCCAAUUCGCACACUCGUACAUUCAAUGUACUGAUGCCAGUUGGCUUGCAUGCAUCGUCUUAUAAUGCAGAAGCAGGUAAUCAGGAUAUGCAGCGCUUCGUUGAUCCAGUUUGAGCUCUAGAGUCAGUGGUGAGCCUCCUUGCAUUCCGGAGGAUCCUUUUAUUGCUAUCUAGUUAGUUCAAUAGAAUGGUGUGGGGUUUGUCCCAACAUUCAUCUCAGUCAGUUUAGAGGCAUCAUAGACUGAUAAUUAGUAGUUAAGUUGUGUCUCUUCAUUUCAGAUUCUAUAUUUGAGACUUAAGUGCAAAUUUGGUCAAGACAGUAUUUAAAGUCAUUUUAUGAGAGCUUUUCCAAUUCUAUAAUUGAGUUAAGUUGAGUCUUCCGCUGAGUUAAGUAAGUCAGGCCAAAAGUUCGCUCGAGGCCAGCAAUAGUCACCAAGUGCUAGUCCCACCCAGAGUAUAGGCUCGAAGCGUGGCAAUAUAUACAUUUCAUAUACGACUUACAUAUUCAGAUAUUUUUGACAUUUUGUUAGAGCGGAAGAGUCUUAACUUACAUAUUUAGGUGAAGUAUUGAUAUUUUGGGAUAUUGGUACUUAUUAUUAUUUUACUUUACUACUUAUUUAUAAGUCUACAACACACGGUAAGCACACACAAGGUGCAAAACAUGUGCUCGAAGUAAAUUUAAUUUGAAUGAGGUUAAUUUGGUCAUUUAUAUAAUACUCAAUGCUUUUUUUACUUGUACAAAAUGAAAAAUUGUUUUUUAUGGACAUCAAAUGACCAAAACUCCAGUAUUCUUUAACUCAAUUGUCAUAUGUUAUAGAACAUUGCAAUUGGUUGAAAAUCAACUUUAAUGUAGUUGCAAUAUAAUUAUUUUUACUUCUUGUCAAAACUGCCCCUAUGCGGCUUAAGCUUAUUUUAUUAACCAUGUGUUAUUACGUGGAGAAAUUAAAGACAUCUUCAGAUGAGUCAUUUUAAGCGGUAUCGACCUAGAUAUAUAUAUAUAUAUAUAUUCUUUUUGUUUUAUUUAUGUCAUUCUUAUUAAAAAUAGGUUAUAUUUAAUAUUUGUCAUUUCAUAAAAGUAAUGCACUAUAUAGUAAUGCUAUUAUGUUUAUUUUACACUUCUAAAUUAUUAAUCUUGAAGUAUAGAAAGCUAAGUAACUAAUUCAUGUUUAUUGGUCAAAUUAAAUAGUCAAAAUAAAUAAAUUCAUGUUUAUUGAUUGAAAACUUGACUUCAAAAAACAGUAAGAAUAGAAUAAAACUUAGCUUAGUUUCGUAAUACACAUGAAAUCUAAAAUAGUGACAUAUAAAUAAGAUUGGAGAGAGUAUAAGUUAAUUCUCUAUUUGUGUCAUACAAAUAGAGAAUUAAGAUAUUUCCUCCAUUACUUUUUAUACGACAUCCUUAUUAUAAAUAGUUAGUCUAUAAUAUUUGUCAAUUCAUAAAAUCAAUGUAUAAAUUAGAGUACGGAGACUUAAGGGUGAAUAAUAUUGACAAAAUUUUCAAAAGGGUAUGUCAAUUUUUUUAAAAAAAAUUAAAACGGUAAAAUCGCUACUAAUGUAGCGAUUUAUUUGGCCAGCAUUAUGACAAAUCGCUGCUCGAGUAGCGAUUUGCACAAUUUUUUUUAAUUUGAAAUCGCUAUCUCAUCUGCGAUUUUUUGUUUUUUUUAAAAGGGAUAAUGCCCAAGUACUCCCUCAACAUAUGCCCGAAAUCUCAGAGACAAACUUAUACUAUACUAAGGUCCUAUUACCCUCCUGAACUUAUUUUAUUAAUAAUUUUUUACCCCUUUUUAGCCUACGUGGCACUAUCUUGUGGGCCCAACGAUGGUUGACUUUUUUUUUCCGAACUAGUGCCACGUAGGCUAAAAAGGGGUAGAAAAUUACAUAUAAAAUAAGUUUCGGGGGGUAAUAGGACCUUAGUAUAGUAUAAGUGUUUCUCUGGGAUUUCGGGCAUAGGUUGAGGGGGUACUUGGGUAUUUUCCCUUUUUCAAAAAAAAGUUUUUUUAUGAUAAAUCGCUGCCAAGGCAACGAUUUUGUUAAUGAUUUUUUUUUAAAUUGUAAAUCGUUGCCCGAGCAACGAUUUUAGUUAAAAAGAUUUUUUUUGUUUUUUGAUGUAAAACGCUGUCAAGGCAGCGAUUUCACUUUAAUUUUUUUUAAUUUUCUUACGUAAAUUGCUGCCAAUUUUGUCAAUUUUUUUAUAGUUUUUUUAAUUGUGUCGUAAAGCGCUGCAAUUGCAGCAAUUUUUUGUUUUUUUUUUAAAAAAAGAUUCAAUAUUGUAAAUUGUCUUUGCACGACUUUAUUGUAGCUAUAAUGAAAUCUACGUAGUACAAAAUUGAAAUUGUAUUUCAUUAAGUAAAAAGAUAGAAGGGUUUAACUAGGGGUGGGCAUAAACAACAGAAAAUCUAAACACCGAAUCGAAUCAAAAUUUUUCAAAAUUUUGGUUUCGAUAUUUCGGUUUUCGGUUCGUUGUUCGGUUUACUUUUUUAUAUUUUUCGGUAUUUCGAUUCGAUUUUCGGUAUGUAUUAUAUUGGUUUUUGGUAUUUCGGUUUAAAUCGAAAUAUUAUACUAUAAUUUAUAUUAUAUUAAUUAAUAAUUAUUAAUAUUAAAUAAUUUUUUAAAAAAAGAAACCCUAUGGUCCUAUUCCUCUCUCUUUCAUCUUUCUCCUAAUUUUCUCUUGGUCUUUCAUCUUCCUCUUGGCUCUUUCCUCUUCCUCUUCUUCAUCUUCCUCUUCUCCUCUUCCGCCAGCCAGAAGCAGCUGCUGCAGCCGCGCCGUCCGCCAGAAGCAGCAGUAGCAGCCGUGCUGUCUGCCAGAAGCAGCAGCAGCAGCAGCCGCGCCGUCUGCCAUCAAGCAGCCAGCAGCCGCGUCGUCUGCCAUCAAGCAGCCAGCAGCCGCGCCGUCCGCCAUCAAGCAGCCAGCAGCCGCGCCGUCUGCCAUCAAGCAGCCAGCACAUCGCGCCGUCUCAGCCAGUCAGGUUUGGAUUUUGUUAUUUUUUUUUGUUCUUGACUUCUUUCGUUUUUUUCUUUCUGAUUUUAUUUUUGCUACUAGUUAUUGUGAAUUUAGUGUGAAUUUUUUUAUAUAUAUAGAUGGUUGAACAAAAACAAUUAAAUAUGGUUGUAGCUGAGCAAAGUCGAAUAAGUAUGGCUGAUUUUACGGAUAAUACACUUAGUAAUAGCAAUGAUCCGUCAAUUGGCACAGAAAUAACAAAAAAAAAAGAAAUGGAUCCUAGAUCUACUGUUUGGCAACACAUUGUAAAGGUUUUUGAAAAUGGUGUAUUAGUUAAAGCAAAGUGCUUAUAUUGUAAACAAUACUAUGCUGCCAAUACAACAAGAAAUGGAACAAGUGGACUAAAACAACAUUUGACUUAUCGGUGUAAAGUGUAUAAACCUCCGACUGUUGCACCGGUAUUCAAAAAUUAUUACAUAUUCAAAAUAACAAUUUAGAGACUUGGAAAUUUGAGCAAGAGGUAUGUAGGAGAGCUUUAGUUGAGAUGAUUAUUUUGGAUGAACUACCUUUUAGUUUUGUUGAAAAAGAAGGUUUUAAGAAGUUUAUGAGUAAAGUCCAGCCUUUGUUUCAUAUUCCUUCUCGUAGAAACAUAACAAGGGAUUGUUAUGAAGUUUAUGGUGAAUUGAGAAUAAAUUUGAAACAAUCUUUAAGAGAAAUACAACCAAGAAUUUGUCUCACAACAGACACAUGGACUUCAGUGCAAAGAAUCAAUUAUAUGUGUUUGACUGCUCACUUUAUUGAUAGGGAUUGGGUGCUUCAUAAAAGAAUAUUGAAUUUUUGUCCUAUCACUAGUCAUAAAGGUGAGCAUUUUUGGCUGAGUCUAUUAGUAAUUGUUUACUUGAUUGGAAGUUGGAUAACUUUUUUACUGUUACGGUUGAUAAUGCCUCUUCAAAUGAUGUGGCAGUUUUAGAGUUGUUCAAAAAAUUAGAUAUGUGGGAAACUAAUUUGAUAGAAGAUAAGCAUUUCCAUGUGAGAUGUAUGACUCAUAUACUUAAUCUAAUUGUGCAAGAUGGUUUGAAUGAAAUUAGUCCUUCUAUCAAAGGGUGAGACAAAUGGUGAAAUAUUUUAGAUCAUCUUCUUCGAGGACAAGAAAUUUCUUGAAAUGUGUUGAAAUGCAAAAGAUAGAAUGUGAUAAGUUGUUGUCUUUAGAUGUGCCUACUAGGUGGAAUUCCACCUAUUUGAUGUUAAACACAGCAGAAAAGUGUGAGAAGGCUUUUAGAGGUUUGAUCUUUACGAUGGUAAUUUUAAUUCUUUUCUUGCUACUAAUGUUUGUGAAGAUGGAAGUAUCGCAGGGUCAAAAUAAUAUGAAGAUUGGGCUAAUGUGAGGAAUGUCACAAAGUUUCUUGAAAAAUUUUAUGAACUCACUUUGAAAGUUUCAGGUUCACGGUAUGUUACUUGUAAUGUUCAUUUUGAAGAUAUAUGUGCACUUGAUGCUUAUUUGAAAUUAUGUAUAGCAAGUGAUGACCUUGAUUUGAGUAAAAUGACUUUGGGAAUGAAAGAAAAAUUCAAGAAAUAUUGGGGUACUCCUGAAAGAAUGAACAAAAUAAUUUUUAUUGCUUAUGUUUUGAAUUCUCACAAUAAAUUUGUGUAUGUUAGUUUUGCUCUUGAAGAAUUACUUGGAAAACGGAAAAUGUAGUGAAUACGAAAGUAGAGUCUUACUUGAGGGAUUUGUUUGCGAUAUAUGUAAGUGAGUAUGGAAAAGGUUCCAAAAGUCAACCAUCUUCAUCUGACUCAUCUGAUUCUUCUGCUUGUGGUAUUUCUCAAAAUGUGUCCAAAAAUUCUUUGAGAACUAAGUUGCACAUGAAAAACAAAAGAAUGAUUCUGGAAGUUUAGGUGUUAAAUCCGAGUUGGAUAAAUAUCUUCUUGAAGACCAAGAACCUGAAUCUGGAGAUUUUGAUAUUUUGAGUUGGUGGAAAGUUAAUUCUCCUAGAUUUUCUGUACUUUCACAGUUGGCUCGAGAUGUAUUGGUUAUUCCUAUGUCGAGUGUGGCAUCGGAGUGUGCAAUUAGCACUGGUGGUCGAAUUCUAGAUCCCUUUAGAAGUUCAUUGACUCUCAAAUGUGUGCAAUGUCUUAUUUGUGUCCAAGAUUGGCUUAGACAAGAAACCAAGCCUAUUUGUGUUGAAGAAAGUUUGGAGUUUCUUGAAAAAAUUGAACUUGGUAAGAUUUUUUAUUUCUUAUUUAUUUUUUUAAAAAAUAAAAUACUUGUUGUGUUCUAUCUUGUAUGACAUGUUUAUUUUUCUUAAUUAUAGAGAUGACAAAUAGUGGAAGAAACUCUUCCAUUGUUGAUCUAUGAUUGACUUGCAAGCGUUGAGUUUAAUACAUCAUUUAUUUAAUCAUAUCAUUUUUAAUCUUAAAAGUAGUAUUCUAAGUUUCUAAUAUUUGAUUUUAUCUUAAAAGUUCCAAGGGUCAAGACAAUGAAGAAAUAAUUUUGUUGACAUGGAAGAAAGUCAAGAAACUCAUUAUUGUUGUUUGUUAUUGUUGACAUUUGAAUUGAAAGUAAUCUCAUGGAAGAAGACAAGAAGUUUAAAAUACAUUGUUUGUUUCUUAUUAUUGUUUAUUAUGAGCUCAUGAAAGACUUUAAUGUUACUUGUUAGAUUGUUAUUAUGUUGUAUUUGUGAAGACAUUAACUACAAAUCUACAAUGCAACUUUUGUUUUAGUUUCAUUGUUAAUUAAAAAUUGUGUGUUUUAGUGAUAUUGUGAAUUUAAAAUUUGUGGUGUUAAUGCCUAAUGGCAUAUUGACAUAUUGAUAUUUGGUAGUAAAUUAGUAAUGCACUUCUUUGAUGUAUUGUCUAUUUUUACUUUUUAGCCCAUUAAGUUGAAAAAUCAAACAAAUAAAUUGUAAAGUUUAAAAUUUUAAAAAGCCCACUAAGCAGGCCCAUUAAAAAACCAAUAUAAAAAAAAUCGAAUUAAUAAAAACCGAACCGAAUUAACAAAAAUCGAACCGAACCGAAAUGUUUCGAUUUGAUAUUCGGUACACAAUUUACAAAAACCGAAAACCAAAAAAUAAACCCGAUACCAAACUGAAAUACCAAAUGCCCACCCUUAGAUUUAACAACAAAACAAACUAAUUAAAUUUUAGCUUACAACCCUGAAAUACUACUAAUAAUAAUGAUAGUAAUAAUAAUAAUAAAACACUACUACGACAAGAAUCAUGAACUACAUACAUAAUAAGAAAGAAUAGACAAACAAAAAUUUGGAUACAACCUUGAAAUAACUAGAUAAUAGAAAUUUGGAUAUUCAUUAAACUAUAUAUAGUGAAUAUUCUGAUACUAUAUUGCCUAAUUCUCGUUUCUAGGUACAUCAUCUAUGACAAACACGCCUAUUGAAACCCUUCGUGGAGGCGUAUAUCGGUGCUCAAUCCUUUUAUAACGAGGCGUAUAUAAAUGCUAAACUGCAAUGUUAAGAAAUAUAUGAUGACCUUUUUCCUUUAUUUCUUUUUGUGUUAAUACUAGAACUAGAAUAGAUCAAUUGAUGUUCAUAACAAAUUCUAACACCUCACUCAUAAUGAAAUUGAUCAUAAUUUAAAGUACUAAAUCAUGCUAAAAUAAGUUAAGUAAGUAUUAGUUACAUGACUAAAUAUUAAAAGAAAAGAAAAUUAGAUCAUGUAUUUUUAAUGUCUAAAUCUAUGUAAAACUAAAAAAUAAAUAUUCGAUAUUAUUGUCAUUCUUAGUGUUGAAUUGAUUUGCUUUUUGAAUUAUUAUUAAUUUGAUUUUUAUUUAAACUUUAUUAUAAUUACCAACAUGUAUGGACUAGAAUCUUUAUUUGAUUAUUAAGAAUUCUAACUUCCAAACAUGAAAUAAAUAUAGUAAAAGAUAAAAACUGUGAAAAAGUAUAAGAGAUAUUUAAAAACUUACAUCAAAGUAAGAUUUUUACGUAUAAAAUAAAAAUUUUAAAUUAUAUAUAUAAUGUCGGGUUGGUUUGGUCUCGGGUUGGUUUAUUUUAGUUGAAAUCAACCCAACCCAAAUAUAGUCGGAUUUUUUUUUCCAACACCAAAUCAAGUCAAACCAAACCACUAGUCAGGGUUUUUUUUAUUUGACUAGAUUUGCGGUUUAGUUUAAUUUUCGAUUCGUUUUUAUACACUCGAUUUGCGAUUUAGUUCGAUUUUGACUUUUGUAGAUAAAAUCUGCAAAAAGAAAUAUGGAUAGAUUUCUCAAAGUUGGAAGGAAAAAAUAUUUUCAAACCAAAACAGUGCUUAGGGGUAGAACUUUUCAUCUUGAUAUUCUAUCAAUGGACAUAGUCAAGCAGGUUUGUGAGUUACUACGGUUUCAGGGGUGGGAGGAACUAUUUCUUGAACCUAAUCUUAUUUAUGAACAAGAAGUAGUAGUUUUUUACACAAAUUUAACAAUCUUGGAAGGGGAUGUAGUAUCUUCUAGUGUGAAGGGAGUUGAGAUUGUUUUUGAUGCAACUAAGCUUGGGGAAAUUUUACAUAUACCAUUUGUGGGUAUUAAUGAUUAUCAUUGGGCUUUUGAUGAACAUUUUAGUCUUCCAGCUAAGUUUUCUCAAGGUAGAGUCAAUUCUAGGGCACAGACUGUGUUAAAAGGUAUCAUGGGAUCAGUUCAUAAGCUUCUCUUUGAGAUAAUACAUAAGGGAAUACUGCCCAGGCGUCACCAACGUCACAUUGCUUCUAUAAAGACAUGGGACUUAUGAAUGCUCUUGAAUGUAAAGAACGUAUUGACUGGCCCACAUUGAUCAUCAAACACUUUGCUAGAAUUGUUGAUCCUAAACUAGGUUCUCAUCAAUUACCAUUUGGGAAUCUUUUAACUAGACUGUUUGAUGCGUUUGAAGUACCAUUGGGAGAAGGAAGGGUUUUGACUCGUGCAGAUAUGUUUACUCAAACCAUUCUUGCUGAUUGUGGCAUUCCCAUGGAAUCAGAGCAAGUUGUUAAUGUUUCUCCACGUACAUCUGGUCCUGUUGCUCAAUUACUCAGGGAACUCAAAGUGGAAGAAGAAAAGUAUGUCACCCUUGAAUUGGAAAACCAAAAUUUACGUGCUGAACUUCAUACUUCAAAUGCUGAGAUUCACAGGUUGAAAGAUCAGUUGGUGCAGAAGCAGCUUGCUAACAAUGCAAGGGUUGACAGAGUUCUGGACAUGCUUGCUUUUGCCUCCACCAAGCCUAGUCAAUAUUCAACUUGAAAAGCAUCAUGUUUGCACCUGGUUCUUUUUACUCUGUGUUGAUAUUCCUCUUUGUGUUUCCAGAACACUUUAUUUUGCUCAACUGGCUGAGCUUCACUUGUUUCUGUGGAUGUUAUCUUAUUUUGUUUAGCUAAUAUUGGACUCUUUUUGAUUUGUCAAAAGGGGGAAGAUUAUUAUAAGUGCAUUACACAGGUUUGUCUUCAUCAAAAAGGGAAAAUAUGUUAGAAUCUGAUAAUUCUAUAAACAGAUAAAAUUAAAGUUUUGAUAAUAGACAAGAAAUGCAAAUAUAUGGAUAAAAAGGUUUGCCAGAUUCAUCGCCAAAUUUGUCGCAACAAGAAGCCACCUGAACUAAUUAUAGCAGUCACUAGAAGUAUACAAUUAAGUGUACAAGAGCUAAAGAUGCUGAAAAUUCAAGUUGAGACAAAUAAGGAAUCCUUAAUACAUUAAGUAAGGAAGUUGUAUAGAAAAAGGAUUGUACAAUAAAAGGUAAAAUCAGUACUCCUUGUUUAACUAUAAUUACAAUUUCCUUACCUUAUUUGAUAAGGAUUCAAGGCACGAGAAGGCAGGAGAAAACUCUAUAAAUAGAGAUCAACAACAGAAGAAGAGGACACGACUUUUACAUAGAGAGAAAAGCGAGAGUUAUUCAUCAAGUAAAAGCCUUCCAAGAUCGAUAGGUCUUGCUAAGUUCAAAGAAGUUCUUGAGUUAGAAAGUCUUGAACGUGUAAAACUAUUUUCUUGAUUCAUUGUUGAGUUGUUAGUUACGUUUUCGUACAAGAAGUGGGUUUGGCUUCUUGUAGAGUUGAGCUUUGGUGAGGUUUGUAACAAAAGGUGGGUUUGGCCUUUUGAGAGUAGAAGUAGUCGAUUAUAGUUAAUCGAGAGUUGUUGUAGUGGUGAGGUUAUUGAUUAUUGAGUUGUAAUCAUAAAAUCAUCCAGUUGAAUUAAUAAAACGAGGUUUUUCCUUCCUUGAUUGAGGAAGGUUUUUAAUUUAACAAGUGUUUGUGUUCUGACUUAAACCAACUUACAAGAACUAGUUCUUAUUCUAGGGGAUAGGUUUCUUCACUUGACAAUCAUGCGCAAUUUUUUAUUUUGGUUGACUAUAAGCGGAAUGCUAACUCAAGCAUAUGUAAACAUCCAAUUGAAAGAAAUGUUUAAAAAUAAUUUUCUGAAUAUCAAAAUUUUUCUGAAUAUAAUGAGUAUGAAACAUUUAAAUAAAAUAUCUGAAAUUGAAAAACUCUCCAAAAUUUUCUAUCUAUGAAGCCUCUACAGUACAAAGGUGAGUGUCGGAACAAGAUCAACGACUACACAAAAAACUAUUACUAACAAGUCAUACGUUCUUAAUUAGUAAGUUAUAUAUACGUUAUUUCAAUAAUACUUUCGAUAUUAUGAAAAUAUAAUGUCAAUCUUUAAAGACAAACAUUUACAUACCAUGAGAACGACUUUUAUUAUUAUUAUUUUUAUUAUACGUUCUUUUCUCACUUGGGAUAUAAAUAUGCAUUUUUUCAUAUCAACCAAAAAAUUUGAUAUAAUAAAUUUAAUUUUUACUAUGUCAAAAAGUAUUAAGAAAAAGUGUCACAAUCUAAAAUUUCAAAUUAUGAUAGGCAUUUACUAACAUCAUGCCAACAGAUAAGCCGAACUUAUACACAAUCUAAAUUUCAAAUUAUGAUGGCUGGCAUCUACUAACAUCUUGCCAAUAGAAAAGCUGAACUUUAAAUAUAUGUUAAAGAGAAAAGACAUUAAGAGACAGUUGAAGUUGUUUUGAAUUUUUAAAAAUAUAUUUUAACUAUGUAGAUAUCUUAUUAUUUCCUAAACUAUUUUGAAUAUAUAUUAUUACAUCAUUUUUGAAUCAGUUCUAGAUUUUAAAUGACAAGUGUAAUCACAUAUCAAUCAUUGUGUGACACGUGUUAAUUCAAUUUGAAAUAUUACUUCUUUUCAUUUUAAGUUUUCUUUAUCUUACUUUUUGACUUAUUUUAGUUUUAUUAUUUUUAUUUGGGAUAAUGCACAAGUACCCCCUCAACCUAUGCCCGAAAUAUCAGAGACACACUUAUACUAUACUAAGGUCCUAUUACCCCCCUGAACUUAUUUUAUUAAUAAUUUUCUAUCCCUUUUUGGCCUACGUGUCACUAUUUUGUGAGCCCAACGCUGGUUGAUUUUUUGACUUUUGUGAUCUGUAGUAAGAAAGUCUUUUUUCCAUUAAACUUAUUUAUUUUAUUGUAUUUUUGUAGGAAAGAAGGGGACCUUAUAUAAUUUUUUGAUUUAGAGUUUGUUGUAUCUUUGUUAAAAAAGUGGGUUCCUAUUAUCAUAUAAAUAUGCAUUGCUUUAUAAUGAGUGAACUAUAAAUUGUAAUAAAUUAUAAAGUUGAAGAGUAUAUCAAGACUUUUUAUGGACUUUGGUAUUUAGAGAUUUUGUUAAUUAAAGUAGAGGAGUCGUAUAUAUAGGUGAAUAUUGAUAUGUUGCAUGCAACAUGUGUUAUUUAUUUUAAUGUAUGUAUGUAUUAUUGAGUAGUUAAACGUGUUGGGAGCCAUUUUUUCUUGCGUGCAUAUAUGCAUUUCAUGACAUAUAUAAUAAUAAUAAUAAGAAGAAGGCAGAAAUGAAUUGAAAAUAAAGGAAGUAGUUAAAAUAUUAUCCAAUCUCACCAUUUAUUUAUUAUAAAAUAUUAGAUACGAUACAUAAUUAAUUAAGAGAUGGAUGAGGUUUUUUUUUGUAUAUAUAUACUCACUUCAUUUAUUUAGGUGUGUGUGAGUGAGUGAUGAUGGAGUAGUCCUAGGUAAUAGUAACGGUUGCUAGAGAUGUAAGUAUCCCCAAACUUGCUGCCAAAGUUUGACCCACCGCAUCCUGAAGUAAGUUUCCAAUAAGGAUAACGGGAGCUACAAGGUUUCCUGUGGUUGGAGUCAAAGUGCAAUUAGCAAUUGGGAGAGGAAUCCUUGCAAUACAUGUUCCUGACAGAAGACUUGUAUUGGUGGACACUGCAGCAUUAAUAAUGCCUUGACUAUUUGCGGACACUUGAGCAAUCGUUGUGUUGCCACAAAUAAUCGUUACAUUUGCUCCAUUCACUCCGACGCCUGGGGCAUUACUUCCUGGUACGGAGCAAGACAAACUCCCCAAUAUAGUUAAAUUAAUAUUCGUUGGUAUAAUCGGUGGUACUUGACCACCAACAGGUGGUACAAUCGGUGGUAUACUAAUGGGUGGUACAAUCGGUGGUAUAUUAAUGGGUGGUACAAUGGGUUGGCCAAGAAUAGGACCAACAAUUGGACUGAGAAUAGAACCAACAAUCGGUAAUUGGCCAAGACCAACAGGUGGCACUUGACCAACGGGUGGUACAAUACGUGGUGGUGCAGGUUGACCCAAUAGGGGAUGCAAUAGAGUACCCACAAAGGGAAUGGGACCCAAAAUGGGACGAACAAUGGGACCAAGGUUAAUAGGCAAUUGAGCAUGGGCUAGAGGACUGGUGGUGAUGAUGGAAAGUAGAAUAACAAGGGAAACAACACACAUUUUUGAAGACAUGAUGAUUUGAUAAUUUUUAUUCUGUUCAAUAUACCCUUUAUAUAGUGCUCCUUUUUAUUUACUCCACCCCUACCUUAACUUACCCCACCCCCCAACCUAUAUAAAUGAUUAAAUAUAUUAUCUUUCAUCCCUAAAUAAGACUUACAAAUAUCUCACAUAUAUCAUCAUUAGUUAGGUUGAAACUCAUCAACUUGAACAACAUUGGGACCAUACAAAUUAAUUAAUUCAAUAUCAUUUGACUUGUCAUAAGAAGAAAUUUUUUUUGUAAGCUGAGGCCAAAAGGCCUUUGGUUUGCCCAUAGGACUCCCUUUUUCUUUUCUUCUACCAUUAUUUUUAAAGUAAUUAAAAGUUGAAGAUUUAAAACAAAUACCAUAAAUUUAUAUUUUUUUAAUUAUUAAAGUAAUUUACACAAUUUAUUUAUUUUUAUUUAUUUUAAAUAUAACCUUUUAAAAUUGGUGUUAAAUCUUUAUAUUUUGGUAAAAAAUUAGGUGUUCACAGUGUGAUUGUUAAUCACUUCAUUAAAAAUUAAAAAAGUUUAAGUAGAAUUUAGAUAAAAAAAAAAUAAGUAAUGUCUACUAAUUAUCUUGAAAUCUAAUGGGUUUAUCACAUUGUUCGAAAUGUAUUAAAAUAUCUAACAUAUAAUUUUAAAAUUGAAGAGAGUUAAAAUUAUAGUAGAAUAAAAGAGAGAUGAAAUUGUGGUAAAAACUGACAUUGAAAGUGAUAAGUUAAUGAAGAUGACAAUGAAUUUUUGAAGAAGAAGGAAGAAAGAAAAAGAAAAAAAUAAUAAGGAGAAAAAGUUAAAAUAAUACGAAAAAUUAAAAAAUAUAUAUAUUUUAUAGUAAAAUUCUUGUAAAAAUAAAAUUAUAUUCGUUUUUUUAGUUUGUUCACGCUCUUUAAGAGAGCGCAUACACUUUCCGUGUCAGGUAAACAAAAAAUGAUGUAAUAAUAUCAAUUCAAAAAUAUUUAGGGAGGGUAAUAGGAUACUUGCUUAGUUUAGAUAUUUUUAUAAAAAUUCGAGACAACUUCAAGUAACAUUUUAUGUCUUUUCUCUAUAUGCUAAAAACCUUUUAAGUAGUAGUGUAUGGAUCACCAAUAUACCACUGACUUUAUAUAUAUAAUAUAAUAUGAAGUAUUUUGUAGAAGAGCCAUGAGUUUCACAAAUAUGUCCAGAAGUAGCAUAACAAAAAUAAGUAGAAUUAGUUAGAUUCGAAUGCACGAUUACUUCUUCAUUUCAAGAAGGUGAAAUCAUUAGGUUAUAAUUAUAAUUUUUUUAAUGUUAAGGAUGUUCAAAAUAUGCUAUUUAAUCAUUUCGUAUGUAUUUUACUUGUUUAUAUGAUAGUUAUUUCUGACGAAAAUCGGACACCCUUAUCACCACGUGACUACGCCACCGGAUGUAUCAAGCUUUAAACACACAGAAAAAUGAGAACUAUAUUUUCUGGUUUUCUGGUAAGAAAAAAAAUAUAUUUAUGUUAAUAUAAUGGCACGAUAGAUGGGCAAGCAGGAGGUCAAUGUAUAUGUUUAAUUUACAUGAUACAGAUGAAUUAGGAGAGCAAUUAAAAUUUAUAUGAUUUAAAAAUAUUAUAAGUUGUUUAUUAUUGUGAAUUAUAGUAUUUUUAAUUUAUGUGACACAUAUAAAAUUUUAAGAGUCAACAAAUUCUUUAAUAAGUUUUAAAAUAUAUUUCAAAUGGUUAAUUAUUAUAAUUUUUAAUAUUUUUUACGCCCUAAACCUACAUCCUAAAUGUAUCGGUACUCAAAAAUCAUCUUUGAUCCCAAAUGAACCUUUAAUCAUAAGCGAAAGACUUACUCUAACAACAGAAAUCUCAAAACAAGAUCAACUCAUAAGAAUAAGUGCUCAACUCUCAAUCUUCAAAACAUCAAGGACUGAGAAAAAGAAGUAAAAUAUUUUUUGGAAGAAUGAAAGGGUGGUUUAUGGGGAGGGGGUUGGAUAAUAAUUUAAUUUUUAUUUAUACGGUGAAUAUUUUAUCUAUGUGAAAUGUCAAAGUGUUAAGAUUUUUCAAAAUAAAAAAUAGAGUACAUUAUACACACCACCAAGGUGUUUUCUCAAACUAAUAAAUACUAGUUUAGCUACAAAACUAAAUAAAAAGAUAGUUUAAAUGUGUUUUUAAUGGGGGUGUGCAAAAAUCGAACCGACCGAUAAAUUGAACCAAAAAUAUGUUAUUGGGUUAUUGAGGUUUUAAUGGGUUUAUAAAAAAAAAUUAAUGGGUUAUUGGUUCGUUAUCAGUUUUUACUAUUGGGUUAUUGGGUAAAUUAAUAACCCAAUAAGACGGUAAUAAUUCACUAUUUUACUCUUCCUAAUUAUUAAAUAUUAAUAAUUUAAUAUAACUAAACACUAUAACUAUAUCAAAUUAUUAGUACUCUCUCCCCUUCACACUAGGCCGCUUUACUAGUUUUUAUUGUUUACUAAAAACCUAAAGACUAUAGUAAGGGUUCACUAUUGUAGCUAUUUGAUUUUAAUUUUAGUUUAGUAUUAUUGGACUAUUUGAUAUUAAUUUUAGUUUGUAAUUGUAGGUUGUAGCAUUUGCAAGUUUGUGAAGGUCCGUAAUUUGAUUAACAUAAAAAAUCUCGUACUAUAUUUUGGCGGUGACAUGUAAUUAUAGCCUUUGUACUAUAUUUAGAAAAGUGAGAAGUCAUAUAAUAUUUUACGAACAUUUUUGUUACUGGGUAAAUCGAAAAUCAAACGUAUAACUACCAAAAAACGAUAAAGAAUAUCUUAUUGAUUGGUUAUCGGGUUAGUGUUGACACCCAAUUUUGGACCUCCACCAUAUAAAUAAUCAAUUCGAGCUUCUUCGAUUUUAGACGAUUUAAAAUAAUUAGUUUAUAAAAUUGUAAGAAAAUUUCAAAGUUUGCACCUUAUUUUAAAUAGUUUUGUCGCUUUAUAUAUAUAUAUAUAUAUAUAUAUAUAUAUAUAUAUAUAUAUAUAUAUAUAUAUAUAUAUAUAUAUAUUACACAACUAUGUAUACAAUUAAUAUAUUUUUAUGAUUACUCAAAAAUCAUCUCAAAAAGAUUUUACUUUGUUUAAAUAUUUUACUAAUUAGUUUAGUUAUAUAAUAGUUUACAUUCUUGAAUUAGUUAUUCUAUAAUUAAGUCGAUUAAUUUAUUUAAUUAAAAUUAAGAAGCUCGUUAAUUAAUUAUACUAAUUCAUCGAGUUUAAUGUCAAUCAUUUCACCAUUCAAUUUCUAAUUGGUUUAAGUAUACAAUAUUUGGUUGCCAAAAGACCAAAUUUGGGCCUCCAUUUUGAAUUGAGCAACUUUCACAUAUAGCAAAUAAAAAAUUCAUAUUUGUAUGCUAUAGCAAAGUUUGCAUAAUUGCGUUCCAUAGCAAACAUAGAAACUGUAUAAUUCGCUAUAUAUAUACAGUUGAAGCAAAUUGUAUAAAUUGAAGUGUAUAAAACAAGAAAGAGAAAGACACUUGGAUAGAGAACUGUAUAAAAAUGAAGUGUAUAAAACGAAUUGUAUUAUUAUAAGUGUAUAGAACCAUUUUAUAAAAUUUGAAUUUGUAUAAAAUGAGAAAGAGAGAAAGACAAAAGAGACUUGACAAGGAAUAUACAAUUGAAUCGAAUUGUAUAAACGAGAAAGAGAGAAAGGCAAAAGAAACUGUGCAGGGUAGUAUUUUUAUUGUAUAAUUACAAGUGUAUAGGAUGAAAAUAUAUGUAUUUGCAUGUGUAUAUACAAUUUUCUCACGCUUUAUACAAACAGAAACACAAUUUAUGCAUUUUGCUUCUCUUUGUAUAAGUGAUAAAGGCGAGGGUGGCGAGCGAGAUCUGGAAGAGGGAAGAGAGGGGAACAAAAAUAUAUGUAUUUAUGCAAUUUUCUCUACUUUAUACAAUUAGAAACAAUUUUUAUACACUUGUGUUUGUAUAAAAAAUGAGGAAGCGAGUGAGAUACCGGAGGAGAGUGGCGAGCUUGAUAUUUGGGAGAGAGGCGCCGGGAAUUUUUUUACAAACGUUUGGUAUGGAGCACAAUUAAAUCAAACUCUAGCUACUAUAUUUAUUUUAGGUUAUUAGUUUGCUAUUAUAUACAAUUUUCCCUUUUAAAGAGCAUUUCAGCCCAAUCUUAAAUUACAUCAACCAAACCAGCCACUCCAACUUCCUUUUUAAAUAGUAUAAAUUUAAGGAAUUCCAUAGUGUAAUACAAUUAUUACAUUCUGUCCCGACAAAUUUAGUAUUUACUAAUAAUCCCUUAAAAUUGUUGUGGCGUGAUACAUUAGUAUGUUGUGAUAUAUGGUAAAUAAUAUAUAGUAAUUUAAAAUUGUUAAGAUUAAAAGGGGGUAAAAUGGAACAUUUAAAUUUGUUAUCUAAAUCAGCUUAAAUUACGGUAACAGUUCAUUAAUAAGCAUUAAUUCAACACGUAAUUGGAUAACAAUUUCAAAUUUUGAAAAUUCAAGAUUAUAUCAUCUAGUUUGAAGACAUUUUUAUGAACAUCCAGUUAUUAAACUUAUUGACUGAUACAUGAUAACAAUUUUCAAAAACUUUUGAUACAUAGGAAAUCAUAUGAUACACAUCAAAUUCAUGUAUCAAUGCAUCGUCUAAACACUAUAACACACUGAGUCGAUAUGUAUCAGCAAGCACACUUGAUGGCGCAGUUAUUAAGCUUAUUGACUGAUACAUGAUAACAAUUUUCAAAAACUCUUGAUACAUAGGAAAUCAUAUGAUACACAUCUAAUUCAUGUAUCAAUGCAUCGACUAACACACUAUAACACACCGAGUACUUAUGUAUUAAACUUAUUGUCUGAUAUAUGAUAACAAUUUUCAAAAAUUCAUGAUACAUAUGAGAUUCCUUUACUAAAAUUUUUACUAAUUUCAACAACAAUGGUUGCUGCUUCUUUUCUCUUUUUUGGGUGUAUUUUGUCAACCUUUGCUUUAGAUGAUUCGCCAAAAUCUUUGUUUGAAUCCUUCCGAACAUUCAUAGGAUCAUGCAAAGAUUUUUUUUUAUUUUCUUUCCAAUUUUCAUCGUCCGAAUCAUAAAUCCUUCUAUUAGUAAAAGGAUUCAUUAAUAUGAUGUAAUAGAACAAUGAACAGAAAUAAAAUAAAAAAAAGAACGGAUGAUGGAGUAAGAAGAAAAAGAAGACCUAGAGACGGCUGAUGUAAUAUAGAAAUGAACAAGAACAAAAAAAAGAACAGAUGAUGGAUUAAGAAGAAGAAAACUAUAGACGGAUGAUGGAGUAAGAAGAAGAAGAAGAACCAUAGAACAAUGGUCCAAUUUUCAGAAAUUUCAAAUUUUUUGAAUUUUGAAAUUCAAAAUUUCAUAUUAAAUGUUGUGAAAUGUUUUUAAUUAAAAUUAAUAAUUCAAAAUUCAGAAAGUGAUUCAUGAAUGUUUUAGUGGAGAAAAAAUAGGCAUGAUAUUGGGGAAGUGUGUGUUAUAGGAGAGAGAAGGCUAUGUAUCUCUAAACUUCUACUAAAAAAAGAAAAUUAUGUAAUAUUUAUAAAAAGAAGGGAAAAUUAGAGAAUACUAAACUUAUAGUUGUGUAUUUAAGUUAUUUUUCCUUUUAAAUAUACCGGCCCAACUUUAUUAUUCCCAAAUGGAAAAAUUACAUAAAUUAAUAUAUUUUAAAAAAUAAUUACUGAUUUUAGUGAUACUUUUUGUUUAUUACCAUUUAUAGCAAUGCUUUGUUAAAUCUAUAAUAUGUAUUAAAAGUGAAUUAUGUAUGCAAUAUAUAUGAAUUAUAAUUGUUUUUUGAAAUAAAUCAUGUUUGUUUGAUAAAAAAUUAUCACAUUGUAUUUUAAGUGUAUUAAAGUGUGUGAUAAAUUUAUUAUUCAUCAUUAAAAUUUGUAUUAUAUGUGAAUAAUAAAUUGUUCUUUGUAAUAUGUAUUAAACUUGUAUUAUAAAUGAAUUAAAAGUGAUCAAGUGAGGUAAAAAUAUUAUUGCUAUAAAUGAUAAAUAUUUUUUAUUAUAGUAUAUUUAUAUAAGUUUCCCUUCCCAGAUUUACCCCAACCCGGCCCAAUUCUAUCUUUAACAAGAGAACCCAGUAGUGUUCCAAACCGUAAGCCGACAAAAGUUCCAAGCACCAAAGUUUACGGACGGAAAACCAUUACACAACGCCUUCACGCCUAACUUCAAUGGUAAAAGCAGCGCGUGGAGGGCACCAAGAACAAAUAGUUAUUUAGUUUGUGGUUCGAUAUUGUAAUACUUCUGUUCAACUGAUUUGAGAUUUAUUUCUUGAUGGUCGCAAGUCAUUAGAAUUUUGAAAUGUUUUUGAUUUGGUGUCGGCUGGAAAUCAGUGGUGCAACUUGAAAUAUUGUUGUCUCAUUUGUAUGAAGUUUUAGGUCUUCCUGCCUAUAUUGCUGAUGCUCCUGAUUUUGACAUAUUGAAAUCGCUAUAUUUGUGUUUUGUAGUGUUGUUGUUGUUGUUGUUGUUUCAUUAAGUCGCCAGAGAUAUCACACCCUUUUUCUGCGCGUGGCGUAAGACGGUAAGGGUUUUUCCAAUUUAAGUGACGUUAUUGAUUAGGGAAUUAUUUUAUUUUUCAGCGUCGCCACUUGGAUUUAAGUUAUGGCAAGUCAACUUUUCUUUUAAUCCCUAACCAAAAGGAAAUAACUCUUUAUUUUGGUCCGUGGACCAGAAAUUUAGGUAAGGAAUCCUGUUGAAUGAGGAGAAGGUAUUAGGCAUCCUUCGAGUCCCGUGGUUCUAGCACGAUCACUUUUAUUGACUUAUAUUUAUUUUAAAAUAUUUUUGGAUAUAUUAUUUUUAGGUAUUGACUUGUUUGCAUUUUUAUUCUUGAACUUUUAUUUAGUCUCAAAUCAGAUGCAUAACUGCAUUCUCGACUUUGACAUUUGGAGACAUAAUUGUCUUCAUCUCUCAAGUUCCUCCCACCUAAUAAUUGUCUAUAAGUGUCACUCUAAAUAUUUAUAUUUAUAAACAAGGUGCGUCACCGCAUCCUUGAAUUUUUAAUGUCUCAAAAAGAUGCGUAACCACAUUCUUGAUUGAAAUAAAUAUUUAUUAAUAUGUCGAAAAAUAAUUUAUUUUAUUUUAUUUAUUUAUUUAUUUAUUUAUUGGUCUAGAUAUACCUACUUUAUCAUUAUUAUUUAAAUCAAGAAAAGCUGUAGCUAUAGUGAAAUCAACGUAGUACAAAAUUGAAAAUUGGAUUUCAUUAAGUAAAAAGAUAGAAGGGUUUAACAACAACACAAACUAAUUAAAUUUUAGCUUACAACCUUGAAAUAAUAAUAAUAAUAAUAAUAAUAAUAAUAAUAAUAAAACAAUACUACGACAAGAAUCAUCAACCACAUACAUAAUAAGAGAGAAUAGACAAACAAAAAUUUCAAUACAACCCUGAAAUAACUAUAGAUAAUAGAAAUUUGGAUAUUCAUUAAACUAUAUAUAGUGAAUAUCCUGAUACUAUAUUGCCUAAUUCUCGUUUCUAGGUACAUCAUCUAUAACAAACACGCCUAUUGAAACCCUUCAUGGAGGCGUAUAUUGGUGCUCAAUCCUUUUAUAACGAGGCGUAUAUAAGUGCUCAAUCCUUUGGUUUUGUGAUCCGCCAUGAGAUAUAGAGCAAGUCUUUUUCUAUUAAACUUAUUUCUUUUAUUGUAUUUUUUUGGGGGCCGGGGGGUGGGGGGGGGGGGAGGUGGACUUGAUAUACUCCUUAACUUUGUGAUUUAGAGUUGAUAUAUCCUCGUUAAAAAAGUGGGUUACAUGUACUCAUAUUAUUAUAUAAAUAAUGUCUUCAAAUAUACCAUUUUGUUCUAACGGGAGUGAAAACAAAUAGUUUUUUAAAUGCAUUUUUUUAUUUAUUUUUAAGAAGUAAAAUUUGAAUAUAUAAUCUUAGAACUUUUCUAGAAAAUAUACUCGUAUAUUGAUAUUUUAGUGUGUUUUUAAAAAAAAAAUUAAAACAAUAUUUCACUUCCAUUAGAUGAAAAGGUUAUAUGUGAACCACUUUUAUAAUGGUAAGACUAUAUAUGAACCACUUUGAAUUUAAAUGUGCAUUAUUUUAUAAUGAGCGACAUAUAAAUUCUAAUAAAUUAUAAAGUAGAAGAGUAUAUCAAGACCUUUUAUGGACUUUGGUAUUUAGAGAUUUUGUUAAUUAAAGUAGAGGAGUCGUAUAUAUAGGUGAAUAUUGAUAUGCUGCAACAUGUGUUAUUUAUUUUAAUGUGUGUAUUAUUGAGUAGUUAAACGUGUUGGGAGCCGUGCGUGCAUAUAUGCAUUUCAUGACAUAUAUAAUAAUAAUAGAGUGAAAAGAAGAAGAAGGCAGAAAUGAAUUGAAAAUAAAGGAAGUAGUUAAAAUAUUAUCCAAUCUCACCAUUUAUUUAUUAUAAAAUAUUAGAUACGAUACAUAAUUAAUUAAGAGAUGGAUGAGGUUAUAUAUAUAUAUAUACACACUCACUUCAUUUAUUUAGGUGUGUGUGAGUAUAUCAAGACUUUUUACGGACUUACAUAUUUAGAUAUUUUAGAGAUUCUGUUAAUUAAAGUAGAAGAGUAGGUGAAUAUUGGUAUGUUGAAAACAUGUGUUAUUUAUACUCAUGAAUAGAAUAAUUAAGUAGUAUAUAAUUGUUGUUGUUCAUCUUGUAUUCCAAACAUACUUAGAACAAAACUUUGAACAUCUUUGUAAGAAAACAAAGUUUAAGAACAUUUUCACAACUAGAAAAUUAAAACUAGUAGCGAAACUAGAAUCAGAAACAGAUUUUUUUAAAAAAAUAUACGAAAUAUUUUUCUUAAAGAGGAAUUGUUGUUAAUAUGUGUCUAAAUAAUCUUACUGAUUCCAACAAACUUUGCAGAAACACGAAGUUACCAAGUUUAAUGAACCAGUGAAGAACAGAAGAAUAGAAGAACUGAAAUUAAUUGACAAAUCUAAAAUUUGUAAAAGACGUACCAGAAUCUGAAAAUUUUUAAUAGGAAAAAGAUCAAGUCCACUGAAUUCACAGUGUCCCCUUAAGGAAAUUAUUAGUUAAACGUGUUGGGAGCCGUGCAUGCAUAUAUAUAUACAUUUCAUGACAUAUAUAAUAAUAAUAAUAAUAUUAUUAUUCAAUCUCACCAUUUAUUUAAUAUAAUAUUACAUGAUAAUUAAGAGGGCACUUCAUUUAUUUAGGUGUGUGUGAGUGAUGAUGGAGUAGUCCUAGGUAAUAGUGACGGUUGCUAGAGAUGUAAGUAUCCCAAAAAUUGCUGCCAAAGUUUGACCAACCACAUUCUCAAGUAAGUUUCCAAUAAGGAUAACAGGAGCUACAAGGGUUCCUGUGGUUGGAGUCAAAGUGCAAUUAGCAAUUGGGAGAGGAAUCCUUGCAAUACAUGUUCCUGACAAAAGACUUGUAUUGGUGGACACUGCAGCAUUAAUAAUGCCUUGACUAUUUGUGGACACUUGAGCAAUCGUUGUGUUGCCACAAAUAAUCGUUACAUUUGCUCCACUCACUCCGACGCCUGGGGCAUUACUUCCCGGUACGGAGCAAGACAAACUCCCCAAUAUACUUAAAUUAACAACACGAUCAACAACAGGUGGUACAAUCGGUGGUACUUGACCACCAACAGGUGGUACAAUCGGUGGUACUUGACCAACAACAGGUGGUACAAUCGGUUGGCCAAGAAUAGGACUAAGAAUGGGACCGACAAUUGGACUGAGAAUAGAACCAACAAUCGGUAAUUGGCCAAGACCAACAGGUGGUACUUGACCAACGGGUGGUACAAUACGUGGUGCAGGUUGCCCCAAAAUGGGACCCAAAAUGGGACGAACAAUGAGACCCAAACCUUGAGCAUGAGCUAGAGGACUGAUGGUGAUGAUGGAAAGUAGAACAACAAGGGAAACAACACACAUUUUUGAAGACAUGAUGAUUUGAUAAUAUUUUUUUCUGUUCAAUAUCCCCUUUUUAUAGUGCUCCUUUUUAUUUACU
This 26672-nucleotide long non-coding RNA is filed under the name Solanum lycopersicum (tomato). RNAcentral's name for it is "long non-coding RNA (SLYC_LNC000696)". The record is from RNAcentral. Lineage: Eukaryota; Viridiplantae; Streptophyta; Magnoliopsida; Solanales; Solanaceae.